This 414-nucleotide ribosomal RNA is filed under the name uncultured bacterium. RNAcentral's name for it is "bacterial SSU rRNA". It matches the Rfam family "Bacterial small subunit ribosomal RNA", at positions 64 to 524 of the family's 1533-position model. The record is from RNAcentral.
GAACGCCCGCCAAGGGGGAGUGGCAGACGGGUGAGUAACCGUGGGAACAUGCCCUUCGGUUCGGAAUAACUGCAGGUAAACUUGUGCUAAUACCGGUAUACGUCCGCGAGGAGAAAGAUUUAUCGCCGAAGGAUUGGCCCGCGUCUGAUUAGCUAGUUGGUGAGGUAACGGCUCACCAAGGCGACGAUCAGUAGCUGGUCUGAGAGGAUGAUCAGCCACACUGGGACUGAGACACGGCCCAGACUCCUACGGGAGGCAGCAGUGGGGAAUAUUGGACAAUGGGCGAAAGCCUGAUCCAGCCAUGCCGCGUGAGUGAUGAAGGCCUUAGGGUUGUAAAGCUCUUUUGCCUGGGAAGAUAAUGACGGUACCAGGAGAAUAAGCCCCGGCAAACUUCGUGCCAGCAGCCGCGGUAAU